This 253-nucleotide ribosomal RNA is filed under the name uncultured bacterium. RNAcentral's name for it is "partial 16S ribosomal RNA". It matches the Rfam family "Bacterial small subunit ribosomal RNA", at positions 524 to 776 of the family's 1533-position model. The record is from RNAcentral.
UACGAAGGGGGCUAGCGUUGUUCGGAAUUACUGGGCGUAAAGCGCGCGCAGGCGGUCUUCCAAGUCAGUGGUGAAAGCCCGGAGCUCAACUCCGGAACUGCCAUUGAAACUGUUAGACUUGAGGACGAGAGAGGUGAGUGGAAUUCCCAGUGUAGAGGUGAAAUUCGUAGAUAUUGGGAAGAACACCGGUGGCGAAGGCGGCAUCCUGGACCGACACUGACGCUGAGGCGCGAAAGCUAGGGUAGCAAACGGG